This 460-nucleotide ribosomal RNA is filed under the name uncultured bacterium. RNAcentral's name for it is "partial 16S ribosomal RNA". It matches the Rfam family "Bacterial small subunit ribosomal RNA", at positions 338 to 795 of the family's 1533-position model. The record is from RNAcentral.
CCUACGGGUGGCAGCAGUGAGGAAUAUUGGUCAAUGGGCGGAAGCCUGAACCAGCCAAGUAGCGUGCAGGAUGACGGCCCUACGGUUUGUAAACUGCUUUUAUACGGGAAUAACGCGCCUUACGUGUAGGGCUUUGCAUGUACCGUAUGAAUAAGGACCGGCUAAUUCCGUGCCAGCAGCCGCGGUAAUACGGAAGUUCCGGGCGUUAGCCGGAUUUCUUUGGUUUAAAGGGAGCGUAGGCCGCAUGUCAAGUCAGCUGUGAAAUGUCCGGGCUAAACCCGGGCCUUGAAGCGCGAACUGGCGUGCGUGAGUCCGCGGAAAGCAGGCGGAAGUCGUCGUGUAGCGGUGAAAUGCUUAGAUAUGACGAAGAACCCCGAUUGCGAAGGCAGCUUGCUGCAGCGGAACUGACGCUGAUGCUCGAAAGCGCGGGUAUCGAACAGGAUUAGAUACCCUAGUAGUC